GGGGGUAUAGCUCAGUGGUAAAGUAUUCGACUGCAGAUUGAAAGGCCUCCUGUUCAAACCCGGGUGUCCUAUUCU
Molecule: transfer RNA, 75 nt
Filed under: Trichonephila inaurata madagascariensis
Lineage: Eukaryota; Metazoa; Arthropoda; Arachnida; Araneae; Nephilidae
Description: tRNA-Cys
Rfam family: tRNA
About the family: Transfer RNA (tRNA) molecules are approximately 80 nucleotides in length. Their secondary structure includes four short double-helical elements and three loops (D, anti-codon, and T loops).
Source: RNAcentral